CCAGUUCUUCGGGGUAGGGUGAAAAUCCCAACCGGCGGUGAUGCGAUUUUUAAAUCGACGAGCCCGCGACCCAUAGUGUACGCACUAUGGCUGACUUGGUGUGAUUCCAGGGCCGACGGUAAAGUCCGGAUGGGAGAAGAACGAA
The sequence is a regulatory RNA element, 145 nucleotides long. It matches the Rfam family "FMN riboswitch aptamer (RFN element)". From Rfam's summary of the family: The RFN element is a highly conserved domain that is found frequently in the 5'-untranslated regions of prokaryotic mRNAs that encode for flavin mononucleotide (FMN) biosynthesis and transport proteins. This element is a metabolite-dependent riboswitch that directly binds FMN in the absence of proteins. In Bacillus subtilis, the riboswitch most likely controls gene expression by causing premature transcription termination within the 5' untranslated region of the ribDEAHT operon and precluding access to the ribosome-binding site of ypaA mRNA. The record is from Rfam.